GCGCAGCAGUCGCGAAACCUCUGCAAUAGGCGAAAGCUUGACAGGGUUACUCUGAGUGAUGUCCGUUAAGGGCAUCUUUUGGCACUUCUAAAAAUAGUGCAGAAUAAGGGGUGGGCAAGUCUGGUGUCAGCCGCCGCGGUAAUACCAGCACCCCGAGUGGUCGGGACGAUUAUUGGGCCUAAAGCAUCCGUAGCCGGUUCUGCAAGUCUUCCGUUAAAUCCACCUGCUCAACAGAUGGGCUGCGGAGGAUACUACAGGGCUAGGAGGCGGGAGAGGCAAGCGGUACUCAGUGGGUAGGGGUAAAAUCCUCUGAUCCACUGAAGACCACCAGUGGCGAAGGCGGCUUGCCAGAACGCGCUCGACGGUGAGGGAUGAAAGCUGGGGGAGCAAACCGGAUUAGAUACCCCGGUAGUCC
This 415-nucleotide ribosomal RNA is filed under the name uncultured archaeon. Its description in RNAcentral is "partial 16S ribosomal RNA". It matches the Rfam family "Archaeal small subunit ribosomal RNA", at positions 330 to 747 of the family's 1478-position model. The record is from RNAcentral.